GCUGGGCGUGGUGGCUCAUGCCUGUAAUCCCAUUACUUUGGGAGGCUGAGGUGGGUGGAUCAUCUGAGGUCAGGAGUUUGAGACCAGCCUGACCAACAUGGAGAAACCCCAUCUCUA
Unclassified non-coding RNA from Papio anubis (olive baboon), 117 nucleotides. It matches the Rfam family "Metazoan signal recognition particle RNA". From Rfam's summary of the family: The signal recognition particle (SRP) is a universally conserved ribonucleoprotein. It is involved in the co-translational targeting of proteins to membranes. Lineage: Eukaryota; Metazoa; Chordata; Mammalia; Primates; Cercopithecidae. The record is from Ensembl.